UACGAAGGGGGCUAGCGUUGUUCGGAAUUACUGGGCGUAAAGGGCGCGUGGGCGGUCCGGAUCGUCGGUUGUGAAAGGCCUGGGCUCAACCUGGGAACUGCAUCCGAUACGGCGGGACUGGAGUGUGGGAGAGGUUGGUGGAAUUCCCAGUGUAGAGGUGAAAUUCGUAGAUAUUGGGAAGAACACCGGUGGCGAAGGCGGCCAACUGGACCACAACUGACGCUGAGGCGCGAAAGCGUGGGGAGCAAACAGG
Molecule: ribosomal RNA, 253 nt
Filed under: uncultured bacterium
Lineage: Bacteria
Description: partial 16S ribosomal RNA
Rfam family: Bacterial small subunit ribosomal RNA
Source: RNAcentral